GCUGGUGUAAAGGAUGACUUCACUUUUUUCCCCAUCAGAUCGACAGUGUUGAUGUCGUUGAACACUUGCCAGUUAGUUCUGAUGCACCAGC
RNAcentral lists this small nucleolar RNA (91 nucleotides) under Equus asinus (donkey). Its description in RNAcentral is "Small nucleolar SNORD12/SNORD106 (ENSEASG00005023338.2, ENSEASG00020030452.1)". It matches the Rfam family "Small nucleolar SNORD12/SNORD106". From Rfam's summary of the family: This family belong to the C/D class of snoRNA which contain the C (UGAUGA) and D (CUGA) box motifs. The record is from Rfam by way of RNAcentral. RNAcentral also lists the same sequence under 1 other name. Lineage: Eukaryota; Metazoa; Chordata; Mammalia; Perissodactyla; Equidae.